CGGGGUGCAGCAGGCGCGAAAACUUUACAAUGCCGGCAACGGCGAUAAGGGAACCUCGAGUGCCAGGUUACAAAUCUGGCUGUCGUGAUGCCUAAAAAGCAUUGCAUAGCAAGGGCCGGGCAAGACCGGUGCCAGCCGCCGCGGUAACACCGGCGGCUCGAGUGGUAACCGUUAUUAUUGGGUCUAAAGGGUCUGUAGCCGGCCGGGUAAGUCUCUUGGGAAAUCUGGCAGCUUAACUGUCAGGCUUUCAGGAGAUACUGCCUGGCUCGAGGCCGGGAGAGGUGAGAGGUACUUCAGGGGUAGGGGUGAAAUCUUGUAAUCCUUGAAGGACCACCAGUGGCGAAGGCGUCUCACCAGAACGGACCUGACGGCAAGGGACGAAAGCUAGGGGCACGAACCGGAUUAGAUACCCGGGUAGUCCUAGCCGUAAACGAUACUCGCUAGGUGUCGGCCACGGUGCGACCGUGGUCGGUGCCGUAGGGAAGCCGUGAAGCGAGCCACCUGGGAAGUACGGCCGCAAGGCUGAAACUUAAAGGAAUCGGCGGGGGAGCACAAGGGCGAAUUCGCG
RNAcentral lists this ribosomal RNA (568 nucleotides) under uncultured archaeon. RNAcentral's name for it is "bacterial SSU rRNA". It matches the Rfam family "Archaeal small subunit ribosomal RNA", at positions 326 to 899 of the family's 1478-position model. The record is from RNAcentral.